CCUACGGGGGGCAGCAGUGGGGAAUAUUGGACAAUGGGGGGAACCCUGAUCCAGCCAUGCCGCGUGUGUGAAGAAGGCCCUCGGGUUGUAAAGCACUUUCAGUGAGGAAGAACGCCUGGUGGUUAAUACCCAUCAGGAAAGACAUCACUCACAGAAGAAGCACCGGCUAACUCCGUGCCAGCAGCCGCGGUAAUACGGAAGGUGCGAGCGUUAAUCGGAAUUACUGGGCGUAAAGCGCGCGUAGGUGGCUUGAUAAGCCGGUUGUGAAAGCCCCGGGCUCAACCUGGGAACGGCAUCCGGAACUGUCAAGCUAGAGUGCAGGAGAGGAAGGUAGAAUUCCCGGUGUAGCGGUGAAAUGCGUAGAGAUCGGGAGGAAUACCAGUGGCGAAGGCGGCCUUCUGGACUGACACUGACACUGAGGUGCGAAAGCGUGGGUAGCAAACAGGAUUAGAUACCCCUGUAGUC
RNAcentral lists this ribosomal RNA (465 nucleotides) under Vreelandella stevensii. Its description in RNAcentral is "partial 16S ribosomal RNA". It matches the Rfam family "Bacterial small subunit ribosomal RNA", at positions 338 to 795 of the family's 1533-position model. The record is from RNAcentral. Lineage: Bacteria; Pseudomonadati; Pseudomonadota; Gammaproteobacteria; Oceanospirillales; Halomonadaceae.